RNAcentral lists this ribosomal RNA (542 nucleotides) under uncultured bacterium. Its description in RNAcentral is "bacterial SSU rRNA". It matches the Rfam family "Bacterial small subunit ribosomal RNA", at positions 355 to 896 of the family's 1533-position model. The record is from RNAcentral.
UAGGGAAUAUUGGACAAUGGGCGCAAGCCUGAUCCAGCCAUCCCGCGUGCAGGAAGAAGGCCCUCAGGGUUGUAAACUGCUUUUGUCAGGGAAGAAACCCCGUGAUUGAUCAUGGGCUGACGGUACCUGACGAAUAAGCACCGGCUAACUCCGUGCCAGCAGCCGCGGUAAUACGGAGGGUGCGAGCGUUAUCCGGAAUCACUGGGUUUAAAGGGUGCGUAGGCGGCCUGGUAAGUCAGGGGUGAAAGUCUGCCGCUUAACGGUAGAAUUGCCUUUGAUACUGUCAGGCUUGAAUGGGCGCGAGGCAGGCGGAAUGUGGCAUGUAGCGGUGAAAUGCAUAGAUAUGCCAUAGAACACCGAUUGCGAAGGCAGCUUGCCAGAGCUCGAUUGACGCUGAGGCACGAAAGCGUGGGGAGCAAACAGGAUUAGAUACCCUGGUAGUCCACGCCCUAAACGAUGCUUACUCGAUGUUCGGCCAAUAUGGUUGAGCGUCCAAGCGAAAGCGCUAAGUAAGCCACCUGGGGAGUACGCCGGCAACGGUG